AAAAAGUUUUUUCAAGAGAAGUUGCACCAGCAGGGACUGGAAUGGCGCCUGGUCUGAUGGCAGUGGUUGGAGGACGUCCCAAGGUGUGUCAUAGCCCAGCUUCCCCUCUACUACUCACACCUGAAAAAAAUUUCCAACUGCUCAAGCCAUAGAAGAUUACUUCCAGCAUAUUCUGCAUAAAGAACAGCCUGAAGGGAAUUCAGUACUAAGGGCUUCCCUGGCAUCCAGCAGCCAGAGGAGCAGAGAUCUGCCUCUGCCUGCUGCGCUCAUUUCCAAAGCACUCACGUACUUACUUCCUGCUCACCCCUGUGGCCCUGCGCUGAGACAUCGGAGGGAGUCUAAGCGGCCAAAAUAAUUAACCUUACCUGGAAAGAAAGAAAAACCAAACGUAAAUCAGCUUGGCGUCGCCCACCUCUCCCAAAACGCCGUGGGAGUGCGGCCAUUGAGGAGGGUCUCUAGGCGACUGCUCCGUAAUAUUUUCCUUUUUAUCUGAAAAAAGACCUCUGUGGAGCCGUGAGCAGUUCCUCAUGCUUUUUGUCCCCCCCGCACAUUCGCCGGGUGCAGACGGUCGCAGGCAUUACAGGCCGGGUUAGUGACCACUGGAGACGGAAAUCGCUAAUUACCGAGUCGCCUUUGAUCUGCCCGGGCCGUUUGGCCUGUGACCCUGGAGGCU
This is a non-coding RNA of Vicugna pacos (alpaca), 673 nucleotides long. Lineage: Eukaryota; Metazoa; Chordata; Mammalia; Artiodactyla; Camelidae. The record is from RefSeq and is a predicted model, not a curated record.